UCGAGGAUGGUUUCGUUUUCUGGGGAUGUAACUUCUCUCACAUGGGCUUUCGAUCGCUAGGCUGAGGGCCUUCAGGUGAUUUAAAGGGAUAGUUCAACCAAAAAGGGAAAAUUCUGUCAUCAUUUACUCACCCUGAGAUUGUUCCAAACCUGUAUGAAUUUCUCUGUUCUUUUGAACACAAAGGAAGAUAUUUGGAAGAAUGUCAGUAACCAAACAGAUCUCAUCCACAAUCUAUUGCCAUAGUAGGUAAAAUAAAUACAUUCGGAGUCAAUAGAGGAGGAGAUCUGUGUUUUGAUCUUUAUGCUAAAUAAGCAACUCAUUCACUCCACAUGGAUGAACACGUCAUGAGAGAUUGUGAAAUACACAAUCCUGUUUAUCCUGAAUUGUUUCCUAUUACUGGUUUUGCCUAAUUGUCAUAAAAGUUCAGUCACAACAACCACAUUUCAACAGUCCUUGAACCAUUACAAAUGUAAAUAAUAUAUAAAUGUGAAAAACACUCAUGGCAGAGCCAUAAGUAGACGGUGGCCGCUUUACUCACAGAAAUGAACAAAAAUAACAUUGUCUGACAGCUUUGAGUAGGUACAUCUUGUGACAACAUUUCUCAAGCUUAAGGGACAUGAAGCCAACUGAAGAUCUCAGCAGGCCAGCAUCACGUUCAAAGAGCAGUUAUCUCUUUAACAUGUGGUAAGCAGACACUUAGCUGUCAUGUGGUCUGACAGUAAUCCCUUAUAAGAGCUACUGAGUGUGUGCGCGUGUGCAUUCGGCAGCUACACGUGUCAAACGUUAAAAACUCACACUGGGUGUGUUUAUGUUCAACGACAGGCGAACUUGCACACGCUCUGCAGUUUCCAGGACUCUGGGAAUGGAAUAGUAUUAAACCUUCUCUUAUCGCCACAUGACCACCACAUGGGGAUUUGAACCUGCAGCCCGAUUAGCUGUACCACACACCCUUCACCCGCACAGGUUUUAAUCAACGUAGAAAAUCCUUUUCAAUGUGUAACUGGGACGUUCCUUGCUUAAAGGCACAAUAGUUGCAUCUGGUGACCGACCGGCAACCUUCCAGUGAUCUGAAUUAAUGUUUUACAACCUGAAAUAUAUAAUCAUAUCGCUUGUUGCUCCCUAACUCUUUGUAAGUCGCUUCAGAUAAAAGCGUCUGCUAAAUGACUCAAUGUAAAUGUAAUGAAAGAUUUACCACUAAAAAGAUCUGGUCUCUAUCACGAAACCUUGGUUUAAACAUUAUUUUCUUAAAAAUACUCGCAUCAACAGUUAAAAACAAGGUAUGGCAUGUUUAAAGUCAACUUUACAGGUGUCGGGAAUGAAAGACUGAUGGGAAGCUAAACGAGGAAACGAGAGGGGCGGGGCCAAAGACGAGACCGGAUGGAGCCUUUGUUAUGUCAAAACCAACAAUAACAUGUCUCUCUCCACACAAAACACGAGGCUCUGCCAUGAUCCUGCCACUAGACCAAGAAUUACAUGACAUGAUGAGUUACCUGUCUGUCCAGGCUCAAAAAGUACUCAUCUUAUACAAACAAACAUCUCAAUAGCAUUUUCUGUUCGAUACUCACUGUUAACCCUGUUAUUGAUGUAAAGUUCAGCAGUGUUUACCUGAAACUGCCUUGUCAAUUUUUCUGCACCUGGAAUCAAAGGCUAAAACCAUCCGGAGAGCAAUUCAGCGCAGCGGGAAACAAUGCGAGGAUUGAAACGGUCUAUUUCAGACUACAGGUCUGCGUUAUGUCAAAUGGCUUUCUGACAUGGGUUCCGUCAAGGCUGCUAGGAAACAACAGUGGCGGAAACAGUUUGAGCGCAUGACAAAAUUGCGACAAAUGACACUGUCAUUGUGAGAUCUAAGGUGGUGUUUACCUCAUGUGCCUUAAGUUUGGCUGAACAUUGAUGCCGUAAUAUAAACCUGACAUUUCUGAAGUAGAAUGGUUGAGAUCAAGUGUUCCACCUGUUCUGUCAACAAAACAACAUGCAAAUUGCAUCACCACCUGAAACCUUCGAAACCAUUGUAACGCACACAAUUUUGCUCUUUUCUUUUACCCGUCAAUGCCUUCUUUACGCGAGCUAGCGGAAAAGUGGUGGAAAAUUGCGAAAUGCAAAUGGAAUGAACGGGACAGAUUGAAUUUCAGAUUGAACUGCUGUUUCAACGGUUGGUUAGAGCACCGCUCUUUGGCGAAGGCCAGAAGCCUGCGAUGGGAAUAUAUUCUUUUGAACGCCAGAUGCUAUAUCUUAACUCAUUGCUCCACGUCCGGGAGAACGAUUUACAGCAGUUGAUCUCAGAUUUCAUUCUCGCUGGGUUGCGCAGCGGGUUAAAGAGUUUUUAGGCGCGCCCAAAUGAACAAAACGACCCUUUGGUGUGACCUAAUAAUUGGGUUUAAUAGCACACGCCGUAAAAACACAAACAGCGCUGUGAGCUACUUUGAGAUUGCGCAUUUUAGACAUCUGCUAGUAACCAAUUUGUGGGGGGAAAAGUUCAUCUUUGUUAUUACCUAAAAAGGAAGCAAUAUUUCAUUUUGAUUCAACUCUAUUUUCGAGACAUUGGUUGCAUAUUUAAUGCACGUCCUCAUCCUGAAAGAGGGGAAUAGCUAAUCAGGAUAUGAAUAUUUAAUUCCUUCCGUUUAUUCACCUUGAAUUCUAAUCUACAGGACGAGGAAAUAUUCUUAUACACGUCAUUUAUAUAAUUUCAGAUUUGUACUAAAAUGCACUUGUUAUGUUUAUAUUAAGAACAAAUCAACAAUAAAAUCAAGAUUUUGUUCUGCUUAAUAGGAAGCUAGUGGAUUCAGUCCACUAUGCAUCCCAGGUUACAAGCAUCUUUUCCUCAUGCACCUGCUGUUUCCAUGGUGAUUGUGAUUGGAUAGGUAGUGGGUAGUUAGCAGUGAGUCCAAUCAGGGUCUAUUGGAGGGGUGGGGUGCUGUACGACAGUUAGCCAACACUCGGAUGACACUUCAAUAAAUCAAAUGCCGGGCAAUCAGAAAAUGAUCUGGAACUAAUUGCUCUCGGUGAGGAAGAGACACGGAGAAUCAAUGAUGUCUAGCGAUAGAUGUGAAAACCCUUGUUAGACCCAAGUGAGGUAGCAUGAUACAUGAGUAUCGUUUUUUUAUAUACACACACAAACAAGUAAACAUAUACCCUGCUGUCUAAAAUUUUAGGAACACUUGACGUAAUUGUUCUUCAAGAUCUUAAACACCUUCUGAUCUGAAGGCAUGUGUCCGAAUGUUUAAAAUGAGUUUUGUGAUGAAAAUAUUAAUGAAGAGAAAUUAAAAUAAUUAGCCAAUAUGAGCUUCAGUAUUAAAACAAAACUCGAGAAACUGUACAUUUUCAAGAAGAGUACAUUUUUGCAAAUUCUAGACAAAGUCUAGCCUCUAGGAAGAUGCUAUAACAUAGAUUAUAAAUAAAAGAGCAUAGGAAAAAUAAUAAAUAGGCUUAUAUAAUAAUAAAGGGCUUAAGACAUUCUUGUUCUGCCAUCAUCCAAUCAGAUUUGUCUCACACAGGGAAAUGUUUUAGAUAUGUGAAUUGGAAAUAUCCAUUCAAAAUAUUCAAAAGCCUUUGAAAAAAAAAUUUAAUUUCCAUUUAAAGGUCCAAUGUGUGAAUUUUUUUGGGUGGAUCUAUUGACGGAAAUGCAAUAUAAUAUAAAUAACUUUUCAGAGAUGUAUAAAAACCUUACAUAAUGACGUGUAAUGUUUUUAUUACCUUAGAAUAAACUAUUUCUAUCUACAUCCUUCGUCGUGCUUCAAAAGGGAGGGAGGAGGGUUGGAGUAAACCGUUGGUUACAAUAUGCGACCUCACCCCUAGAUGCCGCUAAUUUUCAUACAACGUCACUUUACAUGUAUGUGUUUGGUACCCCUGAAUUACAAUAAAAUUAAUAUGAAACAUUUAUUAUUCAAAUGUUUAAUUUGUAUCCGUCAAAACUAAAUCUGUGCCCUUUGUAAUCAGAUAUAGACAAGCUAUACAGACAUAUAUACAUAUAGACAUAGCUCUGCAAGACUACACUAUUAUGUGUGUUGUUAGUUUGGAAAAAAAGAAAAAAGACAAUUCUGCUUCACUAUUUCAGCGCUUGUCAAUGUCAAGAAUGAUUGACAUCAUUGCAUCCGACAGCAAUAUGAACAACAGAAAGUAAUAUAUAAGGAUGCAAACAUUAUCAAAAUGAUAUGUGUUCUUGUCAAUCCAGUUUUGUCAAUAUUUUAUGUUUUCCCAAAUACAAUACAAGGUAUUUGUAUGCAAACACUUGGUUUCCUGGGAUUUGGGAAUUUCAUUUUGAUACAUUUAAACUGUGACAUUUUGUUUAUUUAUUUUAACUACAUUUUCAUGAAAUUAUGUCCAUCUUGUCUUACAUCAUUUUCCUGUCUCUACAAAGUGAUCAGUCGCAAUGCUAUUUCGACUCCCGUGAUUUAAAUAUGAUAAUGUGGUAAUGUGGUUUCUUCGACAACAGAGCAACAUCCACAGGGUCGAAUAGGAAUGCUAACGGAUAGCUGUCUUCACUUAAUAUAGAUCUCUCCUCGCCCAAACAGACCAGUGAGUCACGGUGGACUCCGAUGUCACUUUAUUGAGAACCUUCCAUGUCAACAAAUCUGAGAGAACUUGAUUGCCAGUGUGACUGAGAGAUGGCCCCGGGGUCCGUGCCAGCACUGUUUUUCAUUUAUCUAAAUAAACAGAGGAUGCGUCGUGCUUUCUACAUUUGCAUUCCUGCCUCUCUCCACUGUUCAUUAACAUCAAUGAGCAUAGCCGCGUACGAAGAAGAAAGUAGCGCAAGAACUCAGCCUCCAGCCAAAGGAAACCUUUAGACCGGGCCUGACUCGGAGGACUACUGUAGCCAAAACAGCGCGCGAAUACCUCCCACGUCCACAUGCUGUCUAGACUUUGAUGGAGCCGUUCAUCUCAGCAUGCGUUAAGCAUUUGCCCUCAAUCGUGAGUGGCCCUUUGGUUUUUAAUUUAGAGACGGAAAAUGAUAAAAACAAUGACAUGUAAAAUCAUAAGCGCAUUAGCUUAAUCAUAGUCUUAUGUCUGUUUUGAUUAAAUGAUAAAAGUAAAUCGUACAUUAACGAGAAACAGGAGAAUCAACAAGAAAGAAAAUGUGACUCUACUAUGAAAACCAUAAAAGAGGCAGACAAGAGAGAGCUGUGAUGUCAGCUAGAAGAGUCAAAAUCUUCUGACAAAUAGUUUUUUAUUAUUUUAUUUGGAAAUCUUAUCUAAAACAUACAUCUGUUCUGAAUUAUUUAGCAGUCAUUAUUCUUGUUUACUAAAGGCUCUUUACUCAGUAAUGUCUAUGAGAACGUUCUUUGCCUGAGUAAUUGCAUAUAUUUUGUUAUUUUUUGUUUUCCAAGGUCAGGUCAAUGGCUUCAUUUGUAAGGUAAUACAUCUCUUAAGGUCAGGAAGAGCGAUUGUUUGUAUUUACUAUAACAUGAAUAAGAUUGUACAACCUUUCUUUUUUAGUAGGCUGUCAGGUUGAGAAACGCAAUAUGUUCAGGCAAAAAUACUUUUCAAUUAGUUUGUGUCUGAUUUUCUCCAGGUAUUACAAUGACAAAUUUGCAGCUGUAAGCUUUAGGACAAACACAGGUUCAUAAAAACCUGAUCCCAAAGGUCAAUUCUGCCUUCUAGUGGCUGGUCUGAAAUACUACAACAGCUCAC
Molecule: long non-coding RNA, 5625 nt
Organism: Triplophysa dalaica
Lineage: Eukaryota; Metazoa; Chordata; Actinopteri; Cypriniformes; Nemacheilidae
Exons: 3
Source: RefSeq, a predicted model, not a curated record